CAAAACUUCAAGCCAGUUUGUCUAAUUCUCUUUGCUCACACCCUAACUGCUUCUCUGCCACCCACCAGAGAGCCUCAGGAGUUCUUGGAAAAUGACAGUUACCCUGUUGGGAGGACACCCAGGCAGCCUGUGGAGACGCCCACACCAGUGAGCUGAUGUGGGAGCCAGUCUUCUUCACCCCGCCGGCGGCUGCACCAGUAGGAUGGGAAGCAGCUUGGCCAUUGCCAGUUGAAUGUUGGCAGGACUGCGGCCCGAGCCGGGGGCACUCAUGCCACACCCGGGUUCUCCACCCUCAAGGACUCUGCGAUCCAAAACGGUGGCUGACAGAAGCUGCUAGGUUUGGGGUUACUUUGCCACACAGCAAUCGAUCCUGAAAAAUGUCCUUUGGGUCCUCACAAAUUGGUGCUUUGUGCCCAGGGUUCCAUCCUCAGCAAUGAAGCAACCGCGUUCCUU
Ailuropoda melanoleuca (giant panda) is the source of this 453-nucleotide long non-coding RNA. RefSeq lists it as uncharacterized. NCBI's taxonomy places the organism in Eukaryota, Metazoa, Chordata, Mammalia, Carnivora, Ursidae. The transcript is spliced from 3 exons. The record is from RefSeq and is a predicted model, not a curated record.